AAGCUGACGGAUCACGCCGCGUGAGUGAUGAAGGUUUUCGGAUCGUAAACUCUGUUGUUAGGGAAGAACAAGUGCAUAGUAACUGAUGGCACCUUGACGGUACCUAACCAGAAAGCCACGGCUAACUACGUGCCAGCAGCCGCGGUAAUACGUAGGUGGCAAGCGUUGUCCGGAAUUAUUGGGCGUAAAGCGCUCGCAGGCGGUUCUUUAAGUCUGAUGUGAAAUCUUACGGCUCAACCGUAAACGUGCAUUGGAAACUGGGGAACUUGAGUGCAGAAAAAGAGAGUGGGAUUCCACGUGUAACGGUGAAAUGCGUAUAGAUGUGGGGGGACAACCCUGGCGAGGGGGAGGCUCUGGUCUGUAACUGACGCUCAAGAGCGAACGCGUGGGGGGCGGACCCGAUUAUAUUACCUGGUGGUACACGCCGGCUGAACGAUGAGUGCUGCGUGUUCAGGGGUGUCUGCCCCUUAUUGCUGUGAGUUAACGGUUUAGCGCUCUCGCGCUGUGGAGUUCGGCGGCAGGUGGACUCCACGAAUUGCCGGGCCGCACAGCGUGGAGCUGUGGUUAUUCGAAGCAAGCGAAGAACUUACCCGGUCUUGACUCUCUGGAACUCUUGAGUUAGGUUUUCCUUCGG
Molecule: ribosomal RNA, 634 nt
Filed under: uncultured bacterium
Lineage: Bacteria
Description: bacterial SSU rRNA
Rfam family: Bacterial small subunit ribosomal RNA
Source: RNAcentral